RNAcentral lists this small nucleolar RNA (146 nucleotides) under Gossypium hirsutum (cotton). Its description in RNAcentral is "small nucleolar RNA snoR134". It matches the Rfam family "small nucleolar RNA snoR134". Lineage: Eukaryota; Viridiplantae; Streptophyta; Magnoliopsida; Malvales; Malvaceae. The record is from Rfam by way of RNAcentral.
AUGCACAAACUCUCCCGGGCUUAUCUGAUUUUUAGAUUUUGAAGAAAAAUGCCCCAAUGUUGGUGCUAAAACCAUGCUGUUUUACGUGUUGCGGAACAGCCUUUCUUUUCCACUGGCUCUUCUGUGUCAAAUCGGCGGCUACAUCC